Molecule: ribosomal RNA, 341 nt
Filed under: uncultured eukaryote
Lineage: Eukaryota
Description: partial small subunit ribosomal RNA
Rfam family: Eukaryotic small subunit ribosomal RNA
Source: RNAcentral
AGCUUCAGUAGCGUAUAUUAAAGUUGUUGCAUUUAAAAAGCUCGUAGUUGGUGAUUCACUAUUGCCGGUCGUUGACUUUUGUCUGUGACUGGCGUCAGCUGAUAGUUGGUUUUUAAACCACAAACACUGUGAGUAAAUUAGAGGGAUCCAAACAGGCUUGGCCAGAAUGUUUCAGCAUGGUAUGGGUUCUCGGCUACGUCAGCUUUCAGCUCGCUGAUGGUGCUGACGAAGUAAAGGUUAAUAGGGAUGGAUGAUGAGAUUCGUAUUGAGUUGCUAGAGGUGAAAUUCUUGGACCAACUCAAGACGUCCGAAAGCGAAAGCUCUUCUCACAGAUGCUCCUU